GAUGAACGCUGGCGGCGUGCCUAAUACUUGCAAGUCGAGCGAACAGACGAGGAGCUUGCUCCUCUGACGUUAGCGGCGGACGGGUGAGUAACACGUGGAUAACCUACCUAUAAGACUGGGAUAACUUCGGGAAACCGGAGCUAAUACCGGAUAAUAUAUUGAACCGCAUGGUUCAAUAGUGAAAGACGGUUUUGCUGUCACUUAUAGAUGGAUCCGCGCCGCAUUAGCUAGUUGGUAAGGUAACGGCUUACCAAGGCAACGAUGCGUAGCCGACCUGAGAGGGUGAUCGGCCACACUGGAACUGAGACACGGUCCAGACUCCUACGGGAGGCAGCAGUAGGGAAUCUUCCGCAAUGGGCGAAAGCCUGACGGAGCAACGCCGCGUGAGUGAUGAAGGUCUUCGGAUCGUAAAACUCUGUUAUUAGGGAAGAACAAAUGUGUAAGUAACUAUGCACGUCUUGACGGUACCUAAUCAGAAAGCCACGGCUAACUGCGUG
This 497-nucleotide ribosomal RNA is filed under the name uncultured bacterium. RNAcentral describes it as "partial 16S ribosomal RNA". It matches the Rfam family "Bacterial small subunit ribosomal RNA", at positions 28 to 507 of the family's 1533-position model. The record is from RNAcentral.